UACGGAGGGUGCGAGCGUUAAUCGGAAUUACUGGGCGUAAAGCGCGCGUAGGCGGCUAUGUAAGUCGGAUGUGAAAGCCCCGGGCUCAACCUGGGAAUUGCGUUCGAUACUGCAUGACUAGAGUAUGGGAGAGGGAAGUGGAAUUUCCGGUGUAGCGGUGAAAUGCGUAGAUAUCGGAAGGAACACCAGUGGCGAAGGCGACUUCCUGGCCCAAUACUGACGCUGAGGUGCGAAAGCGUGGGGAGCAAACAGGAUUAGAUACCCCAGUA
This 269-nucleotide ribosomal RNA is filed under the name uncultured prokaryote. RNAcentral's name for it is "partial 16S ribosomal RNA". It matches the Rfam family "Bacterial small subunit ribosomal RNA", at positions 524 to 792 of the family's 1533-position model. The record is from RNAcentral.